AGUCAGAAUUGCUAGUAAUGGCAGGUCAGCAUACUGCCGUGAAUACGUUCCCGGGCCUUGUACACACCGCCCGUCACACCAUGAGAGUUGGAGAUACCCGAAGCCUAUGAGCUAACUUUUAGAGGCAGUAGUCGAAGGUAGAAUCAAUGAUUGGGGUGAAGUCGUAACAAGGUACC
This 176-nucleotide ribosomal RNA is filed under the name uncultured bacterium. RNAcentral's name for it is "partial 16S ribosomal RNA". It matches the Rfam family "Bacterial small subunit ribosomal RNA", at positions 1324 to 1500 of the family's 1533-position model. The record is from RNAcentral.